Molecule: non-coding RNA, 1102 nt
Organism: Camellia sinensis
Lineage: Eukaryota; Viridiplantae; Streptophyta; Magnoliopsida; Ericales; Theaceae
Source: RefSeq, a predicted model, not a curated record
ACUCAUGGAUGGUUUGCUCAAGUCAAAAGGGGAAGAUCCCAUAGAACUAAAGUGAGUCUAUGCUUAGAUUUACCAAUGUUGUCAAGGUGAUAAUUGAUGAUGUCGUAUAUUGAUUUCCAUGUAGGAUUGCUCAAAUACCCGGGUGCAUUUUGUGUGCAAUUCUAGGAGUUAUGGUUGAUGUGCCUUUUGUAACUGUAAUAGUUCUUUACAAGACUCCAAUCAUGUUGUUCAAAGGAUGGCACCGGCUGGUACAAGAUCUUAUUGGAAGAGAAGGGCCUUUCUUGGAAACUGUUUGUGUCCCCUUUGCCAGGCUUCUGAUUUUGUUGUGGCCAGCUGCUGUUAUUUUGUCUACCUUUGCAGGGAUUGUCUCGAGCUUCUUCUUUGGAUGUUAUGCUGCUGUUGUUGCAUAUCAGGAAAGUUCGACCAAGAACGGAUUGCUCUAUGUAGUUGCUUCUGUAUCCUUGUUUGAUGAGUACACCAACAACUUCCUUUACCUCCAAGAAGGGUCCUGCUUUCCAAGGUGAUAACUUCAAUACAGUACAACAAAAAGUCUUUUCCAGUCUUUGCUAACCUCAUUUAUUAGAUAUAAUGUAACUAUAUUUUCUUUAAUAUAAUUCAUCAAGACCUAACUAUCGGGAUGAAGCAACUACCUCUUCUUCACUGCUUCCCAUAAAGGGAUUACAUCAGCAACUUGACAGUUUUCGCAACAAGGAACCUUUGUUAAGGAUAUCCUCUGAGAAGAAAAAGACACUCAGUGCUGUAGUGAUAUGGAAUAACUUCAUCAAAGCGUGCGAGCAUAUUGGGAAAGAGCUCCUCAGAGAUGAAGUCAUUGGGAUAUCGGAUCUGGAGGCAUGGCAACAUUCAAAAACCAAGAUAUUCAACAUCGGAAUUCCUGCUUAUGUAUUUCUCGAGUGCUUUCUCCGCUCCAUCAAGAGUGGUUCCCCUGGAUUUGUGAUGCGUAUGCCUUUGCUUAAAUCCGGCAUACUAUCUAUCAAUUGUUUUAUAAUGCCAAUUCGAAUGUGGAAAGGAUGUCUAAUGCCAUUUGAGCAAAGACUUCAGAUCUUCCUAGUACAAAGCCUUUUCCCAAGAAACUUUGGGGGAG